CGCACAUUGCGCCUAUUAGUAUUCUAGUAGGCAUGCCUGUUCGAGCGUCAUUUCACCCCUCAAGCUUCAGUGCUUGGUGUUGAGGCCUUACCCGAACCCCCCCGGGGGCGGUAAGCUUCUAAAUCUAGUGGCAAGAUCAGAACAACUCUGAGCGUAGUAAAUCUAUUAUCUCGCUUCGGCCAGUUGCCCUGGUGUUCGCCAUCAAGCCUAUACAUUUUGAAUAGUUGACCUCGGAUCAGGUAGGAAUACCCGCUGAACUUAA
Molecule: unclassified non-coding RNA, 262 nt
Filed under: Asteromella sp.
Lineage: Eukaryota; Fungi; Ascomycota; Dothideomycetes
Description: partial contains 5.8S ribosomal RNA, internal transcribed spacer 2, and large subunit ribosomal RNA
Source: RNAcentral